AGAUAAACAAUAUAAAUUAGCUCCUUCUUUCAGGGGCCUGGCGCAAAUGACGUCUCUGUGAUAUCUUGGCGCCGUUCAGCAAGCCGCUGUCUUUAUAGCUAGAACGGCAAAUCUGAAAAGAAGAAAAUUGGCAAAACUAUCCAAUCCUUGUAUUGAUAAAAAAUAUGUUGACAGAGUGAAGCUUCAAGCGCAAGUACAAAACAAGUUCUCUUUCAAAUAUGCGGCGAAUGUGCUUCCUAACCUGAAAGACCUCCCUUCUAGAAAACACACCAAGACUCGGGCAUCGUGUGUGGUUAAGAGGAGGCCUGGUGGGCUCACUCUCCAGUGUUCCUGCCUGUCUUAGAACGUGCCACCAGCAGCAGCACCUGAGCAUGGCACAGCGUGUGAGCCUUCUGGUCCUUCUCCUGGGAGUGCUGGCAUUUCAGAUGAAAGGGGUGCUUGGUUUGUCAGAUGAGAGCAGUGACAGCAGUCCUGGGCACCGAAAGAGCUACUACGUGGUUUGGAUGCUGCCAACUCAAAGCCUGAGGGCGCGACCACAGAACAUUGAUGGCAGUACGGUGCUGCGCUUGCUGGCUCUGUGGCCUUCCACUGUGGUCAGGGCGCCUGUCAGCACAAUGGCAUGCAUCCAGCCUCAGCCAGCACCCAUCAUCCCUAGGCCGAGUCCGUCCCCCCCGGCCCCUCCCUUGUUGGCAAGCACAGUUCCCAAAGGCCCUGUCCUCACCCCCUCUGGCCAGUCCAUGACAUCAGAGAGAAACAGAGAAGCCUCUGCACCUGGGAGCCUGGGGACCUGCUGCGGUAUGCCGGCCAGGUUUCCCCUGACACCCCAAGUCCUGGCUAUUCCAGGUCCCCCCACAAAGGGAGCACUUCACAGCACCAGCUUCCCCACCUCCUCCCCAGUGAAGGAGCCCCGAGGAGAUGUGUAAGCUGGGAGAAGGACCAGACCCACAUCUGCCUGUGCUACUGGCUGUGUGUGGAAGCAACUUUCAAGGGAAGUGUUCAAAGCUCGGAUGGUCAUAGUCAAUCACCCCGGUGAUGUAUCCUGUGAACCUAUUUUUAUUACAGGAUUUACCUUAUCAGCUCCUGUAGAAAUGAAGUUCUUCUAUAAGGAAGCCUCGCAGGACCAGGAAAGUGAUGCUGGCACAUAUGCUACAAUUUUGAGGCAAUUUCUCACUGUUACCUAAAAAAUAAAAGAGCAUAACUUCUAAACCA
Molecule: long non-coding RNA, 1209 nt
Filed under: Sus scrofa (pig)
Lineage: Eukaryota; Metazoa; Chordata; Mammalia; Artiodactyla; Suidae
Description: lncRNA (ENSSSCG00055007153.1)
Source: RNAcentral